GUGCUCACUUCGGCAGCACAUAUACUAAAAUUGGAACGAUACAGAGAAGAUUAACAUGGCCCCUGCGCAAGGAUGAUACGCAAAUUCAUGAAGUGUUCCAUAAAAAA
This is a small nuclear RNA of Myotis lucifugus (little brown bat), 107 nucleotides long. The record is from Ensembl. NCBI's taxonomy places the organism in Eukaryota, Metazoa, Chordata, Mammalia, Chiroptera, Vespertilionidae.